Molecule: ribosomal RNA, 443 nt
Filed under: uncultured bacterium
Lineage: Bacteria
Description: partial 16S ribosomal RNA
Rfam family: Bacterial small subunit ribosomal RNA
Source: RNAcentral
CCUACGGGUGGCAUCAGUGAGGAAUAUUGGUCAAUGGCCGGAAGGCUGAACCAGCCAUUCCGCGUGCAGGUCAGUGCCCUAUGGGCGUUAAAAUUCUUUUCUCAGGGACGAAGAAAGUGACGGUACCUGAGGAAUAAGCCACUGCUAACUACGGGCCAGGAGCCGCGGUAAUACGUAGGAGGCAAGCGUUACCCGGAUUUACUGGGUGGAAAGGGCGAGUAGGCGGGAACGCAAGUCAGAUGUGAAAACCAUGGGCUCACACUGUGGCCUGCAUUUGAAAAUGUUUGUCUUGAGUACUGUAGAGGCAGACGGAAUUCCUAGUGUAGCGGUGAAAUGCGUAGAGAUUAGGAGGAACACCAGUGGCGAAGGUGGUCUGCUGGACAGCAACUGACGCUGAGGCGCGAAAGCGUGGGGAGCAAACAGGAUUAGAUACCCCUGUAGUC